RNAcentral lists this ribosomal RNA (329 nucleotides) under uncultured eukaryote. RNAcentral describes it as "partial 18S ribosomal RNA". It matches the Rfam family "Eukaryotic small subunit ribosomal RNA", at positions 1470 to 1796 of the family's 1831-position model. The record is from RNAcentral.
CCCUUAGAUGUUCUGGGCCGCACGCGCGCUACACUGACGAUGGCAACGAGUUUUUCCUUCGCCGAAAGGUGUGGGUAAUCUUUUGAAACAUCGUCGUGCUGGGGAUAGAUCAUUGCAAUUUUUGAUCUUGAACGAGGAAUUCCUAGUAAGCGCGAGUCAUCAGCUCGCGUUGUUUACGUCCCUGCCCUUUGUACACACCGCCCGUCGCUACUACCGAUUGAAUGGUUUAGUGAGGACUCCUGAUUGGCGCCGCCGCCCCGGCAACGGAGCAGCGGACUGCCGAAAAGUUGUUCAAACUUGAUCAUUUAGAGGAAGUAAAAGUCGUAACA